RNAcentral lists this unclassified non-coding RNA (1953 nucleotides) under Agrilus planipennis (emerald ash borer). Its description in RNAcentral is "monocarboxylate transporter 9, transcript variant X3". Lineage: Eukaryota; Metazoa; Arthropoda; Insecta; Coleoptera; Buprestidae. The record is from RNAcentral.
AUGACGUCACGGUACAAUGUUCUGUUGUAUGAGGAUGUGGGCUCAGCAGAUUUCUCGAUUUUCGCCCGUGUUUGCGAAGCACUGAAGCAGGCAGUAAGUUGUUGACCGUAUAACGUCGUUGUCAGAGGAAACAAUUCAUGUUGAGUCAAUGUGUAGCUUUCGGCUAAAAUACGAUAAGUUGCCACCGCGUUAACCGUGGCAAUAUGUAUGUGAAUGUGAAUUGUUGUUAAAACGAGUAAAGUAAACAAAAAAAUAAUUGUAAGACAAAACUGCAGACCAUCAAUCAACAUUUCCCAGAAAGCAGUCCAGGAUGUUACUCGAAACAAAGAAAAUGGUACCUCCUGAUGGCGGGUAUGGAUGGAUUGCAGUCAUUGGAGUUAGCAUAGUUAAUCUAUGCACAAGAUCAAUAGAACAAUCCUUUGGAAUUCUUUUUGGAGACGUCUUAGCCGAAAUAGGUGUAGCGACGACAGGAUCAGCUGUGAUAAUGAGUACCUUAGAUGCGUUAAUUAAUUUUUCUGGUUUAUUUGUCGGCCCUUUAAUUCGUGCCUUUUCUUAUCGAAAAGUAUCUUUUGCUGGCGCCUUCUUAACAGCUCUGGGAUUAAUGAUGACCUCUCCAGCCCGGAGUAUGACGCAUAUAAUUGCCACAUACAGUAUUAUUAACGGAAUAGGUGUUGGUUUAGCAUCUUCAGCAACUUUUGUUUCCUUAAACCAUUACUUCCUUAAAAAAAGAGGUCAAGCGGUAGGAUAUUCGAUGGCAGGAACAGCCUUCGGUAUGUUCGUCAUACCACACGCUGUAGGGUUCCUAUUGGAAAUGUAUACGUUUAGUGGCGCUAUUCUAAUAUUAGGCGCAAUUGCUUUACAUGGACUGGUAGGAUCAGCCCUUUUACAACCGGCCAAAUGGCAUUUGGUUCCAGAUAAAGUCAUAGAAGAAGAACCGAUAAAGGAAAUGGAAACAAUAAAGGAAGCUGAAGAGGAUCUGGAAAGUGAUGCCACUUCUCCCACUUUAAUAACCGUAACAACUAAUCCAGAUCUAUCUCCCAAAGUGUUUGACGAACGACCCUUGACCAGAAAAGCGACGUUUCCUCGAAAUUUUUCUACCAUGAGUUUUUUAAAUAGACGCAGAAAGACAUCAACCGAAUCAAUUUAUUCCAGUAUAUCUACCAUGGAUUUUACGGGAUCAAGUUUCCAUCUUCACUUGCAAGAUCCUGUUAGAGAAGAACCGAAAUGCAAUGAAAACGGACUAACAGUUCCACUAGCUCAUGGUAUACGGAGAAAUAUGAGUUAUCCUGCUGUUCAAACCCAUGACAGGGAAAACAAACUUCUCAAGGAAAUACGGGAGAGAGAACCUCUGCACUUUGAACCAAAAAAGAAAGAUACUGUUUGGAAAAAGAUAAUUGAUUUCUUGGAUUUAGACUUGCUAACAGAUCCGAUAUAUUUAAAUCUUGUAUUCGGUUUAUCAGCGUUCUACGUGGCUGAACAAAAUUUUAAGAUGUUACUUCCAUUUUUCUUUAACAAUCUUCAGUACACGAAACAAGAUCAAGCGAACUUCUUGUCGAUUCAAGCUGCUGCUGAUAGUUCUGUUCGGUUAAUCUUUUCACCAAUUUUUGAUAAAUUUAAUAUCAGGAAACGAACUCUGUUUUUUAUUUCUAUCUUUCUGCUCGGAAUUAGUCGAUCAGUAUUAGCGGAACAGACUGAGUGGACGAUGAUCGUGAUUGUCCUCGUUAUUUGCGGGUUCUUUAGAGGCUGUGCUCUAAUUAAUUUCACAAUAACCAUAGCGGAAUAUUCUUCCUUGGAGAAGCUUCCGGCCGCAUUCGGUCUUCAUAUGGUUGGUAAAGGAAUAUUUGUAGUGGCUUUUGGGCCACUUCUCGAUUAGUUUUAUAUGGACGUUGAUGACUUUUGACACGCAUUUAGGACAUCAACACGCGCGAAGCCACGAGUUAUAUUCGGGACAAA